Molecule: non-coding RNA, 9837 nt
Organism: Podarcis lilfordi (Lilford's wall lizard)
Lineage: Eukaryota; Metazoa; Chordata; Lepidosauria; Squamata; Lacertidae
Source: the annotation of a GenBank genome assembly
UCUGGAGCCAGCUAGCCCUUUUGGGCUGCUCAUCCCUCCGCCGCCGCCGACAGCCUCUGCCGCUUGCAAGGGCAGGCACAGGAGCAGCGGUUGGCAGAGCACAGCGCAGCGUCUCUCCCAACUGCGGCUCCUGUGCCUGCCCUUGCGAGCGGCGGCGGCAGCGGCAGCGGGACGAGCAGCCUGAAAGCAGCCCUCGCAAGGGCACAGGAGCCGCAGUUGGGAGAACGCAGUACGGACAGCAGCAUAGGUAGGCGGGGGAGGGGCUGGGGGGAGAGGGGGAGAGAGAGAAGCCCCCUCCUCCGUGCGCGCCUGCGUGUGUGCGCUGUCUGGCACGCCACAAGGUCUGGGGGACAAUGAACCGACCCCCUCCAAAAAAAGUUUGCUGACCCCUGGACCAGAAUUUUACCCUCUGGGCUAGUUGCUAGAAUUGGCUAUGGUGCCAGAAAAAUGGCAGCUGAGCUGUUCUUUUGUCUGGUAUAGUGCAUUUUUGAGCUUUCUUUCUCAUGUAAUACUAAAAUAUGAUAUGGAAGAUGGUAGCCACAUAUUUAGUGCAAUGCACAAACAUGUAAAGGCUGUGCAUUUUUAUGAAUAUCAGUGUAUGCACACUGUGCUAUCUCAUAGAAGACCACAGAGGUAUGUGGCAUCAUUUUCAAGGGGCAUUCAGUGCAACAACCUGCAUGUUUUUGUCAUCUUCCCAGCAGAUCUCCUAACAAGGCCAAUUAAUACUUGGGCCUCUCACUGCCUGCUGCCUGUAAUGAGCACUGAGGUUUUGCAGGAAGCAGGCCCUGAGCACUCUGAGGAUUUGUGGGAGCCAGACCCUGGCUGUGCCAACCUUAUAUGAAUCAGGCGCAGGCCAGCAAGCACGGUCAGGUGACAAGAUGCACUGCAGCUGGGAGCAAGCCCAGGAGAGCUAAAUCAGGCCUGCGUUUCACUUUUGGUCUUUGCCACAGCAACUUGGUCUUUUGUUGAGCUCCCGUGACCCUGCAUCGUGACCUUGCCUGGCUGGACUUCUUACCCACCUUGACUCUGGUACGCUUCUGGACUUCCUCUUGCCUCUGACCCUUAUUUGACUUGCUGCUGCUUCCUGACCAUGGGCCCACCAAUUGGACUGCCUCUUGCCCCUGCUCCCUCCGUUGGACUUCACUUUGACUACUCGGACUGCCUCUGCUACCAGCACCAGCACCCGUACCCGUCUCAGCGUUCCUGCCCAGGACUCUUGCCGCUCACGCCCCGGAAUGUCACUCUCUGAGCUGGUGUGGAGCCACUGUCACCUUUGGUAGGGUGACUUAUGGUGAAGCACUGAAGUACAGAUUUGAUGGUAUAUCCAGAUAGUCUUCGGAUAAAUGAAGCACUUAUUUCCUAAAGGAAGGGCAUUCAGGGAAACGUUGUUACUCAGUUCUUAUUUGAAAAAUUGUCUUCCAAUGGAGGAAAAAGAACUCUGCAUAUAUUCAACGAAACUCAGCUUUAAAUGCCAGAGUUAUUCAUACUGCAGCAGCUCUUCCAGAUAUUUUAUAUCCGAGGCACACUUUUUCAGCAUCUAAAAUUCUUAAAUUCAUUCUGCAAUAAUAGGUAGGUAUUUUAUGUUAAAGGUAAGGUAGGCAGGUAAAUCUGCAGGCAGGUAUACUCCAUACUGAUGGAGCAGCAGUUAAAAGUUCCUACCUUUCCCCACCCAGUUGGGGCUCUAGGAUGGGGCUGUGCUUUCUGGCAGUGCUGAUGCUUCUUAAGAAUCAUUUGUGCUAUAUUUUCAGCUAAAGUUCUUGUUUUAUCAUGGGGUCCAGUGCAUCCUUAUUCCCUAAAUGAAGGUGACAUUGUUGCCCAUCUUGGUGAGGAGAAAGGGAUUAGUGAUGCUUGGGGCCUCUGCUCCGACAGACAUAGAAUAGCAGGAGCAUCCAAAAUGGUGGAUUAGUUUUCAAUGUGUACCUCUGUCCUUGCUUCACACUAGUGUGCACAUAUUUUUGCUCUAAUAAGUGGUAAAAAGCGGUUUGUAGCUUCUUCGGCAGAGAAAUGAGUUCUUUCAAGCAAUUUGACUUGCCAGAUUGUGCCUUUUGAGGCAAGAUAGGUAACAUUUGCUUAUGUUUGUGGGAUUCAUCAGGGAAAAUAUGGGGGAUAUUGUAUCCUUCCCCCACCCCCUCUUGUGUGAGAAAGGCUGGGCUGCUGAUUUUGAGCGACAAAGGAUUAAAUAGCCUAUUCCACUCUGUGCAACCUGAAACCACCCAACUAUUUUCCCCCUUCUUUUUAAAAUGCAAACAUGGGAUUAGCCGUAUCCUGCUCUUCAGAAAUAGCCACAAAAUGGUAAAAUCAUGCAAUAAAAGCAUUGCUUCCUUCCCAGAAAUGAGAUAAGAUAUGCUUUGCAUUGCAGAAGCUUAGCAUAAUCUGUUACAUUCUUAAGAUUUAAUAACUGAGCUGUACUUACCGUCAGUGUUCUCAAGUCCCAAAUGCCAGUAAUAAGCACAGCCUUACUUGAAUUGUUCUGCUGUUUUCUAUUGUAAAUAAUGUAAAAAAUGUUUCCCUAUGAUCAACCUUUCACUUUGAAAGAAAAUAAGCUAUUUUUCUUCCUCAUUUGCUUCUGGUACAUACGAUUGCCGUUUGAUCACUUUUAUAUUGUUGCAGCGAGGAGUUUCAGUUGCUCAGCAAAGGAACAUGGUUGUACUGUCAGUUUCAAGUGCUAAGAUACCUAGCUGUAAACAUGAGCCUUACCUUUAUUUUUUGAAUGAGUGGCCAGUUCAGCUCUUGCGCCUGAUUACAAUUGUCAUUAAUGUAUGCAGUGAGAUCAAUGUACAUAGUAUGCUUACGUAGUAAAAUAAGGAACAACAAAAGUAUAGGUGUCUGCUUUAAAGAUUUUACAAUCUCAAACAUGACAGUACAAGGGAUGACAGGAAAGAAAAGAAAGAGGCAUGCAUGAAAGAGCCAAAUGUGCGGGGAAUGACUGGCUGGCAAAUGUACAACAAACCUUUCCACAAAAUCAGCAAAGGUUCUUAUUUUUAAGGGGGGAAAGGGGGGAAUAUGAUAUAAUAAGCUGCAUUUUUUUACCCACCUUCCUUGGAGGUAAGGCACACUGAACUCAUUGAGACUUACUUUUUAAUUAGAUUUGUAUAGGAUCAUGCUGUAAUAAUGCUCAAUGUUUGCACAGCAGUUUCAAGUGUUUUAACACUUAGAAUCAUAGAAUCAUAGAGUUGGAAGAGACCACAAGGGCCAUCGAGUCCAACCCCCUGCCAAGCAGGAAACACCAUCAGAGCACUCCUGACAUAUGGUUGUCAAGCCUCUGCUUAAAGACCUCCAAAGAAGGAGACUCCACCACACUCCUUGGCAGCAAAUUCCACUGUCAAACAGCUCUUACUGUCAGGAAGUUCUUCCUAAUGUUUAGGUGGAAUCUUCUUUCUUGUAGUUUGGAUCCAUUGCUCCGUGUCCGCUUCUCUGGAGCAGCAGAAAACAACCUUUCUCCCUCCUCUAUGUGACAUCCUUUUAUAUAUUUGAACAUGGCUAUCAUAUCACCCCUUAACCUCCUCUUCUCCAGGCUAAACAUGCCCAGCUCUCUUAGCCGUUCCUCAUAAGGCAUCGUUUCCAGGCCUUUGACCAUUUUGGUUGCCCUCCUCUGGACACGUUCCAGUUUGUCAAUGUCCUUCUUGAACUGUGGUGCCCAGAACUGGACACAGUACUCCAGGUGAGGUCUGACCAGAGCAGAAUACAGUGGCACUAUUACUUCCCUUGAUCUAGAUGCUAUACUCCUAUUGAUGCAGCCCAGAAUUGCAUUGGCUUUUUAGCUGCCGUGUCACACUGUUGGCUCAUGUCAAGUUUGUGGUCAACCAAGACUCCUAGAUCCUUUUCACAUGUACUGCUCUCAAGCCAGGUGUCCCCCAUCUUGUAUUUGUGCCUCUCAUUUUUUUGCCCAAGUGCAAUACUUUACAUUUCUCCCUGUUAAAAUUCAUCUUGUUUGUUUUGGCCCAGUUCUCUAAUCUGUCAAGGUCGUUUUGAAGUGUGAUCCUGUCCUCUGGGGUGUUAGCCACCCCUCCCAAUUUGGUGUCAUCUGCAAAUUUGAUCAGGAUGCCCUUGAGUCCAUCAUCCAAGUCGUUGAUAAAGAUGUUGAAUAAGACCGGGCCCAAGACAGAACCCUGUGGCACCCCACUAGUCACUCUUCUCCAGGAUGAAGAGGAACCAUUGAUGAGCACCCUUUGGGUUUGGUCAGUCAGCCAGUUACAAAUCCACUGAGUGGUAGCAUAGUCAAGACCACAUUUUACCAGCUUCUUUACAAGAAUAUCAUGAGGCACCUUGUCAAAUGCCUUGCUGAAAUCAAGGUAGGCUACAUCCACUGCGUUCCCUUCAUCUACCAGGCUUGUAAUUCUGUCAAAAACGAGAUCAGGUUAGUCUGACAUGACUUAUUUUUCAGAAAUCCAUGCUGACUAUUGGUGAUCACAGCAUUCCUUUCUAGGUGCUCACAGACUGUUUGCUUAAUGAUCUGCUCCAGAAUCUUCCCUGGUAUUGAUGUCAGACUGACUGGGCGGUAAUUAUUUGGGUCCUCUCUUUUCCCCUUUUUGAAAAUAGGGACAACAUUUGCCCUCCUCCAGUCUGCCGGGACUUCGCCUGUUCUCCAGGAAUUCUCAAAGAUGACUGCCAGUGGUUCUGAGAUCACAUCUGCCAGUUCUUUUAAUACUCUUGGAUGCAGUUCAUCUGGCCCUGGAGACUUGAAUACAUCUAAACUAGCCAAGUAUUCUUGUACUAUCUCCUUAGUUAUUCUGGGCUGUGUUUCCUUUGCUGAAUCAUUUGCUCCAAAUUCUUCAGGUCGGGCAUUGUUUUCUUUAUCGGAGAAGACUGAGGCAAAGAAGGCAUUGAGGAGUUCAGCUCUUUCUGUGUCCCCUGUUUGCAUUUCACCAUCUUCUCCUCUGAGUGACCCCACUGUUUCUUUGUUCUUCCUUUUGCUACGGACAUACCCAAAAAAGGCUUUUUGUUGCUUUUAACCUCUCUAGCAAGCCUGAGUUCAUUCUGUGCUUUAGCUUUUCUGACUUUGUGUCUACACGUGCUGGCUAUUUGUUUGAAUUCCUCUUUGGUGGUUUCCCACCUUUUCCAUUUUUUGUACACAUCCUUUUUUAAUCUUAACUCAGUUAAAAGUUCUUUAGAUAGCCACCCUGGCUUCUUUAGGCACCUUCCAUGUUUCCGUCUCAUUGGUAUUGCCUGACGUUGUGCUUUUAGUAUCUCCCUCUUAACAAACUCCCAGCCAUCAUGAACUCCCUUUCCUUUUAGUAUUACUGUCCAUGGGAUCUCACCCAGCACUUCCCUAAGUUUUAUGAAGUCAGCUUUCUUAAAGUCAAGAAAUUGAGUCCUAGUAUGCUUGGCUGCUCCUUUCCGCUGUAUAGUAAACUUCAGAAGAGCAUGAUCACUCGCGCCUAAUGAUCCUUCCACUUCUACCCCACUAACCAGGUCAUCAACAUUGGUUAGGACCAGAUCUAAAAUGGCUGUUCCUCUUGUUGCUUCUCCCACUUUCUGGACAAUGAAGUUGUCUGCAAGGCCAGUGAGGAAUCUGUUUGACCUUAUGCUCUUGGCUGAGUUUGACAUCCAACAAAUAUCCGGGUAAUUGAAGUCCCCCAUUACUACUAUCUCCCUUCCUUUUGCAUGCUUGGCCAUCUGUUCCAGGAAGGCAUCAUCUAUGUCCUCCGUUUGGCUUGGGGAUCUAUAGUAAACUCCCACAAUGAGGUCACUGUUAUUCUUCUCUCCUUAAUUUUGACCCAAAUGCUCUCACUUUGGCUUUGAGGUUCUAAAUCUUGGAUCUCUUCACAGGUAUACACAUCCCUGACAUAUAACGCCACUCCUCCUCCUUUCUUGUCUGGUCUGUUUCUCUGAAAUAGAUUGUAUCCCCCAUUAUUACAUUCCAAUCGUGGGACUUAUCCCACCAGGUUUCAGUGAUGCCUAUUAUGUCAUAUUUAGUUUGCUGUACCAAGAGCUCAAGCUCAUCUUGUUUAUUUCCCAUGCUUUGCGCAUUAGUGUACAGACAUUGAAGUCCAUUAAUCAUCCCCCCGUGUCUCUUAUUUAAGGAUUUUUUCCUCCCACCACUAGGUCUGCGUGCUGUAUGCUCCAUUUGGUCUAUGACAUUUGGAUGAUCAUCUUCAUCAAUUGAUAGACUCCUACCUUCAGGAGCACUAUCUCCCUCCCCCACAUUAGUCAGUUUAAAGCCCUCCUGAUGAGGUUUCUGAGAUUUUUGGCAAAAACAUUUCUCCCAACCGUUGUGAGGUGCAGCCCAUCGCUUGCCAGAAGUCCAUCUUCAAGAAACUGCAGUCCGUGAUCUAAGAAUCCAAACCGUUCCUGUUUACACCAUUUGCGAAGCCAGCUGUUCACUUCCACUAUUUUCCCCUCUCUCCCUGGGCCACGUCGUUCAACUGGGAGGACAGAUGAGAUGACAAUUUGUGCAUUUAAUUGCUUCAAUUUCCUGCCCAGAGCCUCGUAGUCUCUUUUGAUCUUCUGGAGGCUAUUGCUUGCAGUGUCAUUGGUUCCCACAUGAACCAAGAGGAAGGGGUAUUUGUCAGUGGGUUUUAUGAUUCCUUGCAGUCGUUCAGUUACAUCUUGGAUCUUAGCCCCGGGAGACAGCACACUUCCCGAGACAUCUUGUCAGGCCCACAGAUCACUGCUUCUGUUCCCCUCAGUAGGGAAUCCCCUAUCACCACUACACGCCUCCUCUUAGGUUUGGCCGGGGUUCUUCCGUGAGCUGUCCGCUCCAAGGUCGCCUGCACAUUCCCUGAGGACUGACUUUGCUGCUCGUCUUCAUAUACCUGAUCGACUGUAAUGAGGGAGAGAUCCUCAAAUGGAGUCUGCUCUUCGUCUUCCAUGCUAGGGGAGAGGACCUCAAAGCGAUUGUGUAUUUCUAAACAAUCAGAGCGAACCCUGGGCCUCCUACUUCUUUGAGUCACGUUUCUCCAUAUAUCUGGCUCCUGUGUUGGUGAACUAGCGUCCUUCUCAGGGGAGUCCCCUGUCUCCUCCUUGGUGGAGACGGUGUGCUCUGUUGCUUCCAAGAAGAGCUCCAGCUCUCUAAUUCUUUGGAGCGUAGCUACACGUUCCUCCAGUUGCUGGACUUUGUCUUUUAAGAGGGCAAUCAACAUGCAAUUGCUGCAGGUAAAGCUGCCUGCAACCUUUGGCAAGAUGGCAAGCAUUGCGCAGGAACCGCAGGCGACUGCAGCUGUUCCCUCCCCCUCCAUCUUGAGAACGUGUCGUUGGGGGUGGCUACAGUGGUCCUCCAUCAUAAAAAGCGUGAAGACAGGACAAAUAACUCCCCCCCAAAAAACCUAGGUCUUCCCCAACAAACGUUUGAGACUAGCUCCCCUAAAUCUAAAAGAUGGAUCAAACUGCGCGCGCCGCUAGGCGCGCGCCGCUGCCCUGCAAUCUCUGAUAAGCUCCUCCCACAGCUAAUCACCUGCCUCAACAGAAACCCUGCCCCCUCUGACCUUUGCACAGGGAGAGCAGCCAAUCAGCCACAAAGAAACACACACACACAAGAAAACCCUUUUUGCUCCUUCUUCAACUGCUGCCCUGCAAUCUCUGAUAAGCUCCUCCCACAGCUAAUCACCUGCCUCAACAGAAACCCUGCCCCCUCUGACCUUUGCACAGGGAGAGCAGCCAAUCAGCCACAAAGAAACACACACACACAAGAAAACCCUUUUGCUCCUUCUUCAACUGCUGCCCUGCAAGCUCUGAUAAGCUCCUCCCACAGCUAAUCACCUGCCUCAACAGAAACCCUGCCCCCUCUGACCUUUGCACAGGGAGAGCAGCCAAUCAGCCACAAAGAAACACACACACACAAGAAAACCCUUUUUGCUCCUUCUUCAACUGCUGCCCUGCAAGCUCUGAUAAGCUCCUCCCACAGCUAAUCACCUGCCUCAACAGAAACCCUGCCCCUUCUGACCUUUGCACAGGGAGAGCAGCCAAUCAGCCACAAAGAAACACACACACACAAGAAAACCCUUUUGCUCCUUCUUCAACUGCUGCCCUGCAAUCUCUGAUAAGCUCCUCCCACAGCUAAUCACCUGCCUCAACAGAAACCCUGCCCCCUCUGACCUUUGCACAGGGAGAGCAGCCAAUCAGCCACAAAGAAACACACACACACAAGAAAACCCUUUUGCUCCUUCUUCAACUGCUGCCCUGCAAUCUCUGAUAAGCUCCUCCCACAGCUAAUCACCUGCCUCAACAGAAACCCUGCCCCCUCUGACCUUUGCACAGGGAGAGCAGCCAAUCAGCCACAAAGAAACACACACACACAAGAAAACCCUUUUUGCUCCUUCUUCAACUGCUGCCCUGCAAGCUCUGAUAAGCUCCUCCCACAGCUAAUCACCUGCCUCAACAGAAACCCUGCCCCCUCUGACCUUUGCACAGGGAGAGCAGCCAAUCAGCCACAAAGAAACACACACACACAAGAAAACCCUUUUUGCUCCUUCUUCAACUGCUGCCCUGCAAUCUCUGAUAAGCUCCUCCCACAGCUAAUCACCUGCCUCAACAGAAACCCUGCCCCUCUGACCUUUGCACAGGGAGAGCAGCCAAUCAGCCACAAAGAAACACACACACACAAGAAAACCCUUUUUGCUCCUUCUUCAACUGCUGCCCUGCAAGCUCUGAUAAGCUCCUCCCACAGCUAAUCACCUGCCUCAACAGAAACCCUGCCCCUCUGACCUUUACACAGGGAGAGCAGCCAAUCAGCCACAAAGAAACACACACACACAAGAAAACCCUUUUGCUCCUCCUUCAGCCGCUGCCCUGCAAUCUCUGAUAAGCUCCUCCCACAGCUCAACACCUCCCUAAACAGAAACCCUGCCCCUCUGACCUUUGCACAGGAGAGCAGCCAAUCAGCCACAAAGAAACACACACACACAAGAAAACCCUUUUGCUCCUUCUUCAACUGCUGCCCUGCAAUCUCUGAUAAGCUCCUCCCACAGCUAAUCACCUGCCUCAACAGAAACCCUGCCCCUCUGACCUUUGCACAGGGAGAGCAGCCAAUCAGCCACAAAGAAACACACACACACAAGAAAACCCUUUUGCUCCUUCUUCAACUGCUGCCCUGCAAGCUCUGAUAAGCUCCUCCCACAGCUAAUCACCUGCCUCAACAGAAACCCUGCCCCCUCUGACCUUUGCACAGGGAGAGCAGCCAAUCAGCCACAAAGAAACACACACACACAAGAAAACCCUUUUUGCUCCUUCUUCAACUGCUGCCCUGCAAUCUCUGAUAAGCUCAACUUCAUGUUCAUGUCCUACAGCGUUUGUAAUCCUCGCAACAGCCUGAACAGCAAUACUUCUCAAACUCUGUGGUGGACCAGCAAUUCCCCACCCCACCUAUGUGCCAGGGACUGGUGCCAUACUUUGUCCUUGAAGUGCCACACCCAACAUGGGCUGCAGUGAAGUUGGUGUGGACCAGAAGCCAAUGGCCUAUGGACUGCACUUGUCAGUGGACCACUACUUUGAGUAGCACUGCUGUAAGUUGUCUUUAUUCUUCCACAUUGCAGAGGGAAGAACAAGAGAGUGGCUUGCCUGAAACCACCUAGUGAGUUCAUGACAGUGACUUUGUUGCCACUGUGCUACACCAGAGUAGCCAGGUUUUGCAAGGGAAGAAUGCACUUUUCCCGUCACUUCCAAAGAAGCAAUGAACAGUGUAUGUAGCAAAUGGGUGUGUGUACUUGCUUUCUUUUACUUAAAGGAAAUUCUUUUAAUAAUGCAGGAAGAAUGACAAUGUAAAAGAUUUAUUCAAAGUUGGUAAUUGAAGAGCAUCUGAACAAGCUGGAGAAAAAUGGCAGAAACAGAAGUGUAACAAGGAGACGAGGCUUAGUAUAUGAGCCAAAGCAGCCACAGGAUGGCAGUAUAAUAAAGAUACAG